CCUACGGGUGGCUGCAGUGGGGAAUAUUGGACAAUGGGCGAAAGCCUGAUCCAGCCAUGCCGCGUGUGUGAAGAAGGCCUUCGGGUUGUAAAGCACUUUCAGUGGGGAAGAAAGCCUUGGGGCUAAUACCCUCGAGGAAGGACAUCACCCACAGAAGAAGCACCGGCUAACUCCGUGCCAGCAGCCGCGGUAAUACGGAGGGUGCGAGCGUUAAUCGGAAUUACUGGGCGUAAAGCGCGCGUAGGCGGUCUGAUAAGCCGGUUGUGAAAGCCCCGGGCUCAACCUGGGAACGGCAUCCGGAACUGUCAGGCUAGAGUGCAGGAGAGGAAGGUAGAAUCCCCGGUGUAGCGGUGAAAUGCGUAGAGAUCGGGAGGAAUACCAGUGGCGAAGGCGGCCUUCUGGACUGACACUGACGCUGAGGUGCGAAAGCGUGGGUAGCAAACAGGAUUAGAUACCCCAGUAGUC
Molecule: ribosomal RNA, 465 nt
Filed under: Vreelandella stevensii
Lineage: Bacteria; Pseudomonadati; Pseudomonadota; Gammaproteobacteria; Oceanospirillales; Halomonadaceae
Description: partial 16S ribosomal RNA
Rfam family: Bacterial small subunit ribosomal RNA
Source: RNAcentral